ACAGAGCAGCAGACAGAGAGACGAUAGAAACAAAAAAAAGUAAAAAGAAGAGAAGAAGAAGAACUAAAGAGGAAAAUAGGAGAGGGAAAAGAAGAGAUUAGAAGAUUUCAGAGAGGGAGAAAAAGGGGUCGGCAGCCAUGGUUUCAAAACCAAAAAAAUUCUCAACCAAAAUUUCUAUUCAUCAAGUCUAAAAACUGAGUUCCUCCAUCCAUUACAUGACUAAUAUAAAGGAAAAGUCAAACAAUUAAUGGAAACUACUUGAAAAUGGAAACUAACCUACAUAGCCACUAAAAUAAAAAUCCAAUCUAAAUUAAAAUACUAUCAAACUAAUUUCUAAACCAAAAAGGAAAGUAAAUAGGAUAAUUCCCAAAUCAAAGAGAUCCCUUCCAUCGCCCAACUGCAUCAGGUUGCUUUAAUGGUGGUUUUAGGAGGUUGGAAGGCAUGCUUUGAGUCAUCAACUGGAUUGGCUAACUGGAAACUUUGUUCCAUAAGAAUACUUGUGCUCCAACUACAGAUGCCUAGAUAUGAAUAUGUAUAAGGUGACCCUAACAUGGAAGACAGCGAUCUGAAUCUUCCUCACCAAAAAGACCUGGACAUAGAUACAGACAGCUGUAUCCAUCCCACAUGCUGAGAUCUUUCAUUAUAUAUUUUCUACGAAGUGCCUUUUCGUUUUCCUACACCAUGCCAAUGUGAUUUAACUAUAAAUGGAUUCGAAGUUGCUUCUAGUGUGGUUUAUGAUAGAUUAUCAUUUAUAUUUUGUUAAUAAAAAAAAAUGGGGCAAUAGUUGGGAGUUGGAGAGAAUAGUGGUAAAUGGUGGGAAGUGACAAGCUUUAGAAGCUUAUUGUAGAAAUAUCCAUUUGGUUUCCUUCGUUAAGAAUGUUGAAGCCUCCAGGUACCAUAAAGUUCCCCUUAUUUCUUCCCUGAGUAGCACAGUAAUCUGCAAAACUUAUCUGGGGCUUUUGGAUUUCUACCACGGUGAUUUCCUUCUUUUGGACCACUGAUCGUAAUGAGAGACUGGUGUUGGUCACUAGAGACAAGAUUAUCUUCAACUUCUGUAUCCUUUCUAAAUUGGGUUGAUUUGUUAUCUUCAACUUCAUCACUAGGUCUCAAUCAAGUCUGGCAGCAUUUCAACAAUUUUGGGUGAUGGGUUUCCAGAAGCCUAAGAGAUUAGGUUUAGGAACCCAGACAGAAACAGAAUCGCUGUGAUUAGAUUAUGAUCAGAAUUGAAGAAUGAACAGUAAACAGAAAUCAGAUUAUCAGGUGCUCUCCAGAAUUUAAUGGAAUAUCCUAUUCUCUUAAAAGAACAGAAUAUCAGAGUCUGGAACCAAUCUACAGUAGAACUCAAAAUUAAUAUCAGAACUUCUUAAUUCACCCAAUAAAAUAUCAGAACUUCUAACCUGAGCUGCAAAACAGAAAUCCAUAAUAGUACUGGGACAUCAGGAAAACAAAUCUGAGAAGUCAGAAAUCCCAGUAGUAAUAGGAUUCUAAUGAUCUGAUAUCAGAGUCUGAUUUUAAUUCCAUGAAUAUGCUCAGAACAAAAUCUGAUUGUAUGAUGUGAAGUCAGAAUUGAAAUAUCAAAAGAUUAAGCAAGAAACUGAAUUCUUCAGAAUUAUUGCAUGUGUAGGAACUUGAAAGAAAACUCAGAAAUUACUAAGCUGAUCAAUGAUGGAUAGCUAGGAAGAAAUGGUAGAAUGGAAAAUUGAUAUGAACCAAAUAUCUCACCUGGAACUAAAUUGACAUCCCAUUGGCCAACCUCAGAAUCACACCAAGGAUUAGUUGCAUUCCACUAUUAUAUUCUGAAUCAGAACAUGAAGAAGGCGGAAGCCAAUUUUAUUCAACAGCAAACAUCUUGGGGAGGCUCUAGGCCUUACAUGCUUAUAUAGAAACUAAUAGGAUAGUUGCAUGCUGGCAAUAGCACAGUGUAAUAGGCAAUAAGAAACCAACCCUUAACAGAUAUAUUUACCCAAAAAAAAAUAAAUAAUAAAUAAAUAAAGAGCAAUCCAGUGCACUAGGCUCUCGAACCUGUGACCAACAUGUUGAAAUAGUGCAACUAAACUUUUGCGCCACAAUCCUUAACAGAUAAUGAAAUAAAAUUAGUAACAAAACGGGAAUAGAACUCCUAAACCGUAAAACAGUAGGAGAGUUCUAUUUCAACCAAAACUCUAUCUAAAGACCUUAAAAAGAGGCUGAGAAUAAACAGGGGAUUUCAGUCUUUACAAGUAAGGAAAUAAAUAAUAAAAUAAUAAAAUAAAACAAUCCUAACUAAGCUCCACGACCUGGUUCUUUAACGUGAACCAUAACCUGUACCGCAAGCCAGUAAACUGGUCCAAAAGUCGCCCAAAUCAGACCCACAAGUCAUGGUUCUGGCCUGGCUUACUCCUUGCGUUGGUACUUUAAUGAGUACCUACCUUGAUGCUGAUCUGCAUCAUUGGGUUCAAUUAGGUCAUCUCUUGGAAUGCAAUAAAUUUUGCAAGCUCAACUCUUAUUGGUGUUUUAAGAUGGUGCUAGUUUUUGGAGGAUGACUUUGGCUUCAGUCUUCCUUCUAGUUGGCCUUUUUCCUCUAGGGGCCCUCUUUGGCUGUAGUCUGGUCAAGCAUGUGUUGAAAGAACAAGUGAAUGUGAAGCCCAAGUAUGGUAUGGUUGAUGUGGGUGCUUCUUUGCACUCCUUUGGUCAUCCAUUCUGAAGGAGACCAAGUUUAAAGGAGUCUCUCGUUGGACAUUUGCAACAGGUCAGAAAGUGGAAUGCAGAAAUUGAUAGCUGUUCCGAUUAAAUUUUCACUAUAUGACCUCUCUCUCUCUCUCUGAGGAAGGAAAAAGAGUGGACCUACAUCAGAAUAUCACUACAGGCAAGGCAUUGAAAAUCUUUUCUUGUGUAGUAUAUGUGUGCUGUGUGGAUAUGUGUGUUUGCAUUUUAAAUAGAAGUGUACUGAACAUCAAAAAUCGUGUAUUGUAAGUAAAAUUAUUCAUGUAAUUCUUUUUGCAAUCAGGGUUUAUGUACAGCAAUUUAUAGUCCUUUAAUUACUUAUUUCAUUUCUUCACAAGGAAGUCAGCGUCCUCAGUUGUUAUUUUCUUAUUUCCUGUCUUACUAUGAGCUGGAUUGCAAAUGUAUUCGCUUGUUCAGGUACAUGUCAGCCACAUUACUUAGAGUCGCCAGUGAACAUACUUCAGUUGUUGCAGUUGUUGGCAGGGGGCACCUGCAAGGAAUCAAGAAGCACUGGAAGCAACCUGUUGAUGUUAAGGUUCUCCUUGAAAUUCCUGCAAGAAAAUCAACUGUCUCUGCCAUGAAAAUCUUUAUAUCCCUUGGUGUUGCAGUUGCUGGGGCAGCCAUAGUUUCCGGUGUCUAUUUGGCAGGAAAGAGGUAGUCGUCGGGAAGCUGAUACUUUUCUACGGAAAGCUUUUUGAGGGAUUCUACCUUGUUGCUUUGAGAAAAUCAUCAUGAUAUCGAGAGAUUCGUAUUCAUCCUGUCAACUGAUUUAAUGGCAGUAGAUGGUUCUCUUUUUUUCACCAUUCAUCUGCCUCUGUUUAGCAUGAUUUCUUUUGAAACUGCCAAGCUGCCCUUAACCUAAACAAAAAGUCAAAAAUGUCCUCAAGGAGUAUUUGUUCUUCUUUCUUUCUUCACCUUCUCUGGGUGGGGUCUCCUUCUUGUGCUGUUAGCGUUUUCUGUGCUUCCUUCUACAAUGAGAAAUAUGCAUCUCCUAUUCAACACUUAACACUGCAUAGUGGUCAGCAACCCACCAUUGUCUUUUCAGGAGGCUGUGGAGUGUGGUCUAUAUGUUAUUUUUGGUUUAUGAACAAUUAAACAUUGAAUAAUAGAAGCAAAGAAAGUUGGGUCCAUGCUUGCAAACCCAUAAAUUUUGUAAUCAUCUAGUGAAUCUUAUGUGUGUGUGUGUGUGUUUGUUUUUGAAUUGAUAAUGUGGUCACUUUUGAUUCAAAAUAUUAAUGCUACUGGGUGAACUUGUGGUGAAUCAGUUAGCGUUGAUGUCCUCUUGUUGGUGUUAUGCAUCGUCUCACUCUCUCUUUCUCCUCCUGACAUUGUAUAUGAACUGUGCAGCAGCACCUCACAUGCUCCUGUUGGCAUGGGGAAAAGAAUAUUCUACAGCCUAGUUCUCAAGGAAGGAACCCUUCACAGUUAAUAUACUAUGGAGCAGAGGUUUCCCACGAUGUCAGAUUGGUGAAGCAUUGGUUUACACCAAUGGGGAGGAGGGUCAUAAUGUAUGCAGUUUACCUCAGCUUCAUCAAGAGGCUGUUUUCUAAUUCGAACCAUGAUCACUUGAUCACAAUGGAGCAACAUUUACCUUUGAAUUAAAUUGAAACUGAAUUAUAAAAUUAAAUUGAACCCGUUGAUAUCUUUACCCA
This is a long non-coding RNA of Macadamia integrifolia, 4355 nucleotides long. RefSeq lists it as uncharacterized. The transcript has 3 exons. NCBI's taxonomy places the organism in Eukaryota, Viridiplantae, Streptophyta, Magnoliopsida, Proteales, Proteaceae. The record is from RefSeq and is a predicted model, not a curated record.